RNAcentral lists this RNase P RNA (373 nucleotides) under Bacteroidales bacterium. RNAcentral's name for it is "RNase P RNA component class A". It matches the Rfam family "Bacterial RNase P class A". From Rfam's summary of the family: Ribonuclease P (RNase P) is a ubiquitous endoribonuclease, found in archaea, bacteria and eukarya as well as chloroplasts and mitochondria. Its best characterised activity is the generation of mature 5'-ends of tRNAs by cleaving the 5'-leader elements of precursor-tRNAs. Lineage: Bacteria; Pseudomonadati; Bacteroidota; Bacteroidia; Bacteroidales. The record is from RNAcentral.
GUACUGUUUCGGCGCGUCGCUGGCAUCUCAGGAUGCGAGAGGAAAGUCCGGGCAGCACAGGGUGUCCCACUUCCGAAAAUAGAAGCUAUUGGUGACAGUAGGUGAGGACAGAAGAGAAUGACCGCCAGUCUUUUCUGAGACAGGCAAGGGUGAGAAGGUGGUGUAAGAGACCACCAGCCGGCGGGUGAUCGUCGGGCUGUGUCCGCUGGGAGCUGCAAGUUCAUGUAAACCAUCGUAUGAGGGUUGCCCGCCCGAGUCUUCGGCACGGUGGAGGGUAGAACGCUAGAGCCGUAAGGUGACUUGCGGAGUAGAUAAAUGACGUGCACCACCUUUUGGGGUGGUACUGAACCCGGCUUAUAGAGACAGUACUUUC